Molecule: long non-coding RNA, 410 nt
Filed under: Rosa chinensis
Lineage: Eukaryota; Viridiplantae; Streptophyta; Magnoliopsida; Rosales; Rosaceae
Description: sRNA RchiOBHm_Chr5g0035431
Source: RNAcentral
CCAAGCUCAAACACUAGUAAUUAAGCUCAAUCAAGGACUUAUCUGGAAUGAACCAAAACUAUUUUAGACCAACAGAUGCCGUCAGUUUAGCCUUGACAUUGACCAGGUCCAACGCGCAUGAGACAGGGAAGAUGAAACUGUAAGGCAAAACUUUUGGUGAAAUCAGGAGUGGCGUCGAGUGUGGUGAAAUCCCUAAUCAACUCAUCGUCUGCCUCGUUAGAAGUCACACCGCCAAAUGGAUGCAGAAGGGCAUAGCUUGUGGGUGUUGUCAUCUUAGCUUUACAAUAAUGAGUGUUCCUGGAACUGCAUAAGAGAAUAGAGUGCUUGUAGUAUGAGGCUGGCGGGGAUGGAGGACACGGCGGAGCUGCUGGAGAAGAAGCUAGCGUCGGAAAUUUCGAAGAUGAGCUUAG